Xenia sp. Carnegie-2017 is the source of this 943-nucleotide long non-coding RNA. RefSeq lists it as uncharacterized. The transcript has 3 exons. Lineage: Eukaryota; Metazoa; Cnidaria; Anthozoa; Malacalcyonacea; Xeniidae. The record is from RefSeq and is a predicted model, not a curated record.
UUUGCCAUCUUCGUGAACUUUUGACGCAAGCGAGCAUGAAUAUUUUAAAAUUUCAAAACUUUGAAAAUGAACUAAAAAUGAGUUUAUUUUCUUUGUCUUUCUCUGUUUAUUGCAAAUAAAACGUUAUCCACUCUGUGGCAUUUUGUUGUUCAUGCCUUAUGACAACAAUUUUAGCCGCCAUUUUGGAGAAUAUUUUAGUUAUUUGUGUUAAACUUGGAAAUGUUAACGUGAAAAAAACUGAACCAAACGAAGAAAAAGUAGAAGCAAUACAUUCUGUGCUUGAUCUCAUAAGAUAAAUCGUAUUUCACCACCUACCUAUGCUGUCAAAACGACAACAAUGAAUUGAGAAGAAGAUUUAAAAGCUUUGGAAUCUUCAAUCAAAACCAUUAAAGAAGUCAUUAUGAACAAGAAAGCCAAAGUAUGUAACAGAUAUGGACGAAGCAGACUUUGCAAAGGAACUGGAAAAACUUGAACAUCAAAAUGCAGAAGUUGAUGGCGAUGAUGAUAAUCCUGAUGAUGAAGAAGAACAAGAUGAAGCAUAAAUGAUUGUGGUUUGUUUUAAAACAUUUUCAGAGAGAAUGAUAGAUUGGCUGACAAGUGCUCAUUUAAUAACAAAGAAGUUAAACUUUAACCUCUAUUCAAACACCAUUCGGACAUCAAUUUUUUUUUGUGACUAUUCAAAAUAAUAUUUCACGCCCAUGUUCAAUGUGUUGUGUGGAAAUUUUCAUAGGUUUGCUUAAGUUAAAAUGAAGUCUAUAAGAGAAAUUAAAAUUGACAGUAGUUUGAACCUCUAUGAUUGAGUAUAUCUUACUUGUGUAUCCAAUAUUUAACUAAGUAUAGUUAGUAGUGUACUGUGUUACACAGUGGAGUGUCUAGCCUCUAAAAUCUGAAGAGUAAUAUUUAUAUAUGAAUACUAUGAUUAUAUGAAAGAAUGUUUUAUGCA